AAUAUUGGUCAAUGGGUGCAAGCCUGAACCAGCCAUCCCGCGUGAAGGACGACUGCCCUAUGGGUUGUAAACUUCUUUUGUAUAGGGAUAAACCUACCCUCGUGAGGGUAGCUGAAGGUACUAUACGAAUAAGCACCGGCUAACUCCGUGCCAGCAGCCGCGGUAAUACGGAGGGUGCAAGCGUUAUCCGGAUUUAUUGGGUUUAAAGGGUCCGUAGGCGGACUUAUAAGUCAGUGGUGAAAGCCUGUCGCUUAACGAUAGAACUGCCAUUGAUACUGUAAGUCUUGAGUAUAUUUGAGGUAGCUGGAAUAAGUAGUGUAGCGGUGAAAUGCAUAGAUAUUACUUAGAACACCAAUUGCGAAGGCAGGUUACCAAGAUAUAACUGACGCUGAGGGACGAAAGCGUGGGGAGCGA
This 414-nucleotide ribosomal RNA is filed under the name uncultured Cloacibacterium sp. RNAcentral describes it as "bacterial SSU rRNA". It matches the Rfam family "Bacterial small subunit ribosomal RNA", at positions 360 to 771 of the family's 1533-position model. Lineage: Bacteria; Pseudomonadati; Bacteroidota; Flavobacteriia; Flavobacteriales; Weeksellaceae. The record is from RNAcentral.